Molecule: ribosomal RNA, 205 nt
Filed under: uncultured archaeon
Lineage: Archaea
Description: partial 16S ribosomal RNA
Rfam family: Archaeal small subunit ribosomal RNA
Source: RNAcentral
CGUAGCUGGCUGCGCAAGUCCGUCGGGAAAUCCACUCGCCCAACGAGUGGGCGUCCGACGGAAACUGCACAGCUUGGGACCGGAAGGCUCGAAGGGUACGUUCGGGGUAGGAGUGAAAUCCCAUAAUCCCGCACGGACCACCGAUGGCGAAAGCACUUCGAGAAAACGGAUCCGACAGUGAGGGACGAAAGCCAGGGUCUCCAAC